AGAGUUUGAUCCUGGCUCAGAACGAACGCUGGCGGCAUGCUUAACAGAUGCAAGUCGAACGCGUGGUUCCGGUUCGCCGGGGCCACGAGUGGCGCACGGGUGAGUAGCGCGUGGGAACCUGCCCUCUUGUGGGGGAUAACCGAGGGAAACCUCGGCUAAUACCGCAUAAGCCGGAGAGAUCCGGGAAAGAUUUAUCGCGAGAGGAGGGGCCCGCGUCGGAUUAGCUUGUUGGUGGGGUAACGGCCUACCAAGGCGAUGAUCCGUAGCUGGUCUGAGAGGAUGAUCAGCCACACUGGGACUGAGACACGGCCCAGACUCCUACGGGAGGCAGCAGUGGGGAAUAUUGGACAAUGGGCGCAAGCCUGAUCCAGCAAUGCCGCGUGAGUGAGGAAGGCCUUAGGGUUGUAAAGCUCUUUCACCCGCGACGAUGAUGACGGUAGCGGGAGAAGAAGCCCCGGCUAACUUCGUGCCAGCAGCCGCGGUAAUACGAAGGGGGCGAGCGUUGUUCGGAUUUACUGGGCGUAAAGGGCGCGCAGGCGGCUUAUUUUGUCAGGCGUGAAAGCCCUGGGCUUAACCUGGGACUGCGUUUGAUACGGAUGGGCUAGAGUUCGGGAGAGGAGAGUGGAAUUCCCAGUGUAGAGGUGAAAUUCGUAGAUAUUGGGAAGAACACCGGUGGCGAAGGCGGCUCUCUGGACCGAGACUGACGCUGANNNGCGAAAGCGUGGGGAGCAAACAGGAUUAGAUACCCUAGUAGUCC
RNAcentral lists this ribosomal RNA (757 nucleotides) under uncultured bacterium. RNAcentral describes it as "bacterial SSU rRNA". It matches the Rfam family "Bacterial small subunit ribosomal RNA", at positions 8 to 796 of the family's 1533-position model. The record is from RNAcentral.